CCUACGGGAGGCAGCAGUGAGGAAUAUUGGUCAAUGGACGCAAGUCUGAACCAGCCAUGCCGCGUGCAGGAAGACGGCUCUAUGAGUUGUAAACUGCUUUUGUACGAGGGUAAACGCAGAUACGCGUAUCUGUCUGAAAGUAUCGUACGAAUAAGCAUCGGCUAACUCCGUGCCAGCAGCCGCGGUAAUACGGAGGAUUCAAGCGUUAUCCGGAUUUAUUGGGUUUAAAGGGUGCGUAGGCGGUCGGAUAAGUUAGAUGUGAAAUCUCGAGGCUCAACUUCGGAAUUGCCUCUGAUACUGUACGGCUAGAGAGUAGUUGCGGUAGGCGGAAUGUAUGGUGUAGCGGUGAAAUGCUUAGAGAUCAUACAGAACACCGAUUGCGAAGGCAGCUUACCAAGCUACUUCUGACGUUGAGGCACGAAAGCGUGGGGAGCAAACAGGAUUAGAUACCCUAGUAGUC
RNAcentral lists this ribosomal RNA (460 nucleotides) under uncultured bacterium. RNAcentral describes it as "partial 16S ribosomal RNA". It matches the Rfam family "Bacterial small subunit ribosomal RNA", at positions 338 to 795 of the family's 1533-position model. The record is from RNAcentral.